RNAcentral lists this transfer RNA (70 nucleotides) under Tetraclitella divisa. Its description in RNAcentral is "tRNA-Ser". It matches the Rfam family "tRNA". From Rfam's summary of the family: Transfer RNA (tRNA) molecules are approximately 80 nucleotides in length. Their secondary structure includes four short double-helical elements and three loops (D, anti-codon, and T loops). Lineage: Eukaryota; Metazoa; Arthropoda; Thecostraca; Balanomorpha; Tetraclitidae. The record is from RNAcentral.
AGCUGUUUGACUGACAGGAAAGUAGAUGCUUUGAAAGCACCUUAUAGAAGUUCGAAUCUUCUAACAGUUU